This 1193-nucleotide ribosomal RNA is filed under the name Daldinia bambusicola. RNAcentral's name for it is "partial large subunit ribosomal RNA". It matches the Rfam family "Eukaryotic large subunit ribosomal RNA", at positions 135 to 1353 of the family's 3401-position model. The record is from RNAcentral. Lineage: Eukaryota; Fungi; Ascomycota; Sordariomycetes; Xylariales; Hypoxylaceae.
GGUCCGAGUUGUAAUUUGUAGAGGAUGCUUUUGGUGAGGUGCCUUCCGAGUUCCCUGGAACGGGACGCCGGAGAGGGUGAGAGCCCCGUACGGUUGGACGCCAAACCUCUGUAUAGCUCCUUCGACGAGUCGAGUAGUUUGGGAAUGCUGCUCUAAAUGGGAGGUAAAUUUCUUCUAAAGCUAAAUACCGGCCAGAGACCGAUAGCGCACAAGUAGAGUGAUCGAAAGAUGAAAAGCACUUUGAAAAGAGGGUUAAAUAGCACGUGAAAUUGUUGAAAGGGAAGCGUUUGCGACCAGACCUUUUCCAGGCGGAUCAUCCGGCGUUCUCGCCGGUGCACUCCGCCUGGUUGAGGCCAGCAUCGGUUUCCUUAGGGGGAUAAAGGCCUGGGGAACGUAGCUCCUUCGGGAGUGUUAUAGCCCCUGGCGCAAUACCCCUCGGGGGACCGAGGACCGCGCUUCGGCAAGGAUGCUGGCGUAAUGGUCGUCAACGACCCGUCUUGAAACACGGACCAAGGAGUCGAACAUUUGUGCGAGUGUUUGGGUGUCAAACCCUCACGCGUAAUGAAAGUGAACGGAGGUGAGAGCCCUUACGGGUGCAUCAUCGACCGAUCCUGAUGUCUUCGGAUGGAUUUGAGUAAGAGCAUAACUGUUCGGACCCGAAAGAUGGUGAACUAUGCGUGGAUAGGGUGAAGCCAGAGGAAACUCUGGUGGAGGCUCGCAGCGGUUCUGACGUGCAAAUCGAUCGUCAAAUCUGCGCAUGGGGGCGAAAGACUUAUCGAACCAUCUAGUAGCUGGUUACCGCCGAAGUUUCCCUCAGGAUAGCAGUGUUGUCUUCAGUUUUAUGAGGUAAAGCGAAUGAUUAGGGACUCGGGGGCGCUAUAUUGCCUUCAUCCAUUCUCAAACUUUAAAUAUGUAAGAAGCCCUUGUUACUUAGUUGAACGUGGGCAUUCGAAUGUACCAACACUAGUGGGCCAUUUUUGGUAAGCAGAACUGGCGAUGCGGGAUGAACCGAACGCGGGGUUAAGGUGCCAGAGUGGACGCUCAUCAGACACCACAAAAGGUGUUAGUACAUCUUGACAGCAGGACGGUGGCCAUGGAAGUCGGAAUCCGCUAAGGACUGUGUAACAACUCACCUGCCGAAUGUACUAGCCCUGAAAAUGGAUGGCGCUCAAGCGUCUCACCCAUACCUCGCC